AGAGGGUUCUGCCUAAGGAUAAAAGACCCCUUUCAACCUAGUUUCGCAAGACAUUUGGAUCUGGGCAUCUUAUGGGCACUCCAAUCCAGGGAGAAACCUGCUCAAGCGUUAAAGUUUGAGCAAACAAGCAAACAAGACAGCUCCUCCUCCUCUGUCAUAUUCAAAAGGAGAAGUAACUUCCGUGGUUUUAACCAAUACAAGCCCUGGUUGGCAGCAAAGGGGACAGGCUGUCCUUGAGUUCUGCAAGCUGGGAGCAGGGCAGUGGGUGACAUCUAUGUCUGCCUGUGUGCUUGUGCCAGCCGAAGCCCUUGUUUUAAUAGUUAUGUUGGCAAAAGUGCCCUUUUGCUUAUGUUGCUCAGGGGAGCUGUAGUGAGCUAUACAGGCAAAAACUUAAUUUUGCUGUUGUAAUUUAUGUCCCUCCUCGGCUGCUGUGCUGCUGUGGUCUGACCGCCUGAGCAUCACAGUUGGUCUUUGUGGCGUAUGGAAGUCACAGACUCAGAGCACCUUCAUGCAGUGAAUCACUUUAUUGCCUAUUGCUCUAGCUUUGAUACCAUUCUAGUAAAAGAUAUUUUUAGCUUCGCA
Molecule: long non-coding RNA, 582 nt
Filed under: Strigops habroptila (Kakapo)
Lineage: Eukaryota; Metazoa; Chordata; Aves; Psittaciformes; Psittacidae
Description: lncRNA (ENSSHBG00005008932.1)
Source: RNAcentral